RNAcentral lists this unclassified non-coding RNA (350 nucleotides) under Basidiomycota sp. RNAcentral's name for it is "partial contains small subunit ribosomal RNA, internal transcribed spacer 1, and 5.8S ribosomal RNA". The stretch from base 1 to 47 matches the Rfam family "Eukaryotic small subunit ribosomal RNA", at positions 1785 to 1831 of the family's 1831-position model. Lineage: Eukaryota; Fungi; Basidiomycota. The record is from RNAcentral.
AAAGUCGUAACAAGGUUUCCGUAGGUGAACCUGCGGAAGGAUCAUUAAUGAAUAAACUCGGUGGAUUGUUGCUGGCUCUUAGGAGCAUGUGCACAUCUGCCAUUGUUUCAUUCUUUCUCCACCUGUGCACCUUUUGUAGGCUUGGAUAACUCUCAAGGAUUGAAUUAUAUUCAUUAUAUUCAUUCCUUGGAUUUGGGGAUUGGUUUCAAGAAAACCUCUCCUUUGCAUUUCCAGUCUAUGUUUUAUAUAUCUACACCCCAUUAGUAUGUGUUAGAAUGUUUAUUAUUUGGCCUUUCUUUUGAUAGGCUUUAAAACUUAUACAACUUUCAACAACGGAUCUCUUGGCUCUC